GAGGGCUGAGGUGUUCACACCUGCCCACGGCAGCCUGCCUCGCCCUCAAGCGCCUCAAAGCUUCCUAAGCGCUUACAUUGGUCUUGGGACAGCCGACUUUGGCUUCUUUGUUUGUUUGAGGGACCGCGGAAGUGGCGGGGAAUGUGCCCCCGCUUGAGACCGCUUAUUGUGAGCCCUCAACGGAAAUCCUGCACGGAAGGCAACCGCCUCCCCGCUCGCGAUGGACAUCUGAAAUCAUCAAACCCUUGAGAGAAACAGCCCUCAUUCUUUUAUGAGACAACCUGGAAGAAAACAGGACUCUGAAGAUUUGUCUCCAUAUUCUCUGGAAAGAUGUACUCUGUUUGCAAUAAGAGGGAGCCACAUGGUUUAUUAGAUGGUUAUUAAUUGAGCAUUCUGUGCAAAGAAGUUUGUGCCUUAGAUUUAGAAUUCCACCCUCAGUUGGAAUACAGAUGAUCCCUAACAAGUCACAUGAAAAAAUGAACUGUGGAGCCAGAAGAGUGAGUUCUUGGAGAACUAAGGGCCAGAGACCUGUGAGCAAGAUUUGAUAAUUUUAUAAAAAUUAAAAGACGAUUUGAAAUGUUA
Molecule: long non-coding RNA, 582 nt
Organism: Homo sapiens (human)
Lineage: Eukaryota; Metazoa; Chordata; Mammalia; Primates; Hominidae
Product: long intergenic non-protein coding RNA 1210
Source: Ensembl